RNAcentral lists this ribosomal RNA (440 nucleotides) under uncultured bacterium. RNAcentral describes it as "partial 16S ribosomal RNA". It matches the Rfam family "Bacterial small subunit ribosomal RNA", at positions 338 to 795 of the family's 1533-position model. The record is from RNAcentral.
CCUACGGGAGGCAGCAGUGGGGAAUAUUGCACAAUGGGGGAAACCCUGAUGCAGCGACGCCGCGUGAGUGAAGAAGUAUUUCGGUACGUAAAGCUCUAUCAGCAGGGAAGAAAAUGACGGUACCUGACUAAGAAGCCCAGGCUAACUACGUGCCAGCAGCCGCGGUAAUACGUAGGGGGCAAGCGUUAUCCGGAUUUACUGGGUGUAAAGGGAGCGUAGACGGCAGUGCAAGUCUGGAGUGAAAUCCCAUGGCUUAACCAUGGAACUGCUUUGGAAACUGUGCAGCUAGAGUGCAGGAGAGGUAAGCGGAAUUCCUAGUGUAGCGGUGAAAUGCGUAGAUAUUAGGAGGAACACCAGUGGCGAAGGCGGCUUACUGGACUGUAACUGACGUUGAGGCUCGAAAGCGUGGGGAGCAAACAGGAUUAGAUACCCCUGUAGUC